This 261-nucleotide ribosomal RNA is filed under the name uncultured archaeon. RNAcentral's name for it is "partial 16S ribosomal RNA". It matches the Rfam family "Archaeal small subunit ribosomal RNA", at positions 748 to 1009 of the family's 1478-position model. The record is from RNAcentral.
CAGCCCUAAACGAUGCGCGUUAGGUGUAUCGGUGACCACGAGUCACCGAGGUGCCGAAGGGAAACCGUGAAACGUGCCGCCUGGGAAGUACGGUCGCAAGGCUGAAACUUAAAGGAAUUGGCGGGGGAGCACUACAACGGGUGGAGCUUGCGGUUUAAUUGGAUUCAACGCCGGAAAUCUUACCGGGACCGACAGCAACAUGAAGGCCAAGCUGAAGACUUUGCCGGAUUAGCUGAGAGGAGGUGCAUGGCGUAGACGUCU